This 253-nucleotide ribosomal RNA is filed under the name uncultured bacterium. Its description in RNAcentral is "partial 16S ribosomal RNA". It matches the Rfam family "Bacterial small subunit ribosomal RNA", at positions 524 to 776 of the family's 1533-position model. The record is from RNAcentral.
UACGAAGGGGGCAAGCGUUGUUCGGAAUUACUGGGCGUAAAGGGCGCGUAGGCGGCUUUGUAAGUCGGGGGUGAAAGCCUGUGGCUCAACCACAGAAUUGCCUUCGAUACUGCAUGGCUUGAGACCGGAAGAGGUUAGUGGAACUGCGAGUGUAGAGGUGAAAUUCGUAGAUAUUCGCAAGAACACCAGUGGCGAAGGCGGCUGACUGGUCCGGAUCUGACGCUGAGGCGCGAAAGCGUGGGGAGCAAACAGG